This 242-nucleotide long non-coding RNA is filed under the name Phoenix dactylifera (date palm). RNAcentral describes it as "long non-coding RNA (PDAC_LNC020059)". Lineage: Eukaryota; Viridiplantae; Streptophyta; Magnoliopsida; Arecales; Arecaceae. The record is from RNAcentral.
GAGGAAGAAGAAGAAGGCAACUGGAUGAAGAACCAAAGCCCUUGCAGCCUACUCCCUUUUCCUUGCGUUGGAAGGAGGAAGAGAAGAAGAGGGGGCCGCCAAUGGCUUUUCCUUUUCUUCCGUUGCUUGCGGCUGAACCAAGAGGAGAGGAGAGGGAGGCGUACGGCUUGAAGAGGAGAAGGACCAAGUUUGCCCUAGGUGCCGCCCACAAGCCCUUUUAAAGGCAUGAAGGGCUCCUACAA